AACGAACGCUGGCGGCAUGCCUAACACAUGCAAGUCGAACGAGACCUUCGGGUCUAGUGGCGCACGGGUGCGUAACGCGUGGGAACCUGCCCUUAGGUUCGGAAUAACUCCCCGAAAGGGGUGCUAAUACCGGAUAAUGUCUUCGGACCAAAGAUUUAUCGCCUUUGGAUGGGCCCGCGUUGGAUUAGCUAGUUGGUAGGGUAAAAGCCUACCAAGGCGACGAUCCAUAGCUGGUCUGAGAGGAUGAUCAGCCACACUGGGACUGAGACACGGCCCAGACGCCUACGAGAGGCAGCAGAGGGGAAUAUUGGACAAGGGGCGAAAGCCUGAUCCAGCAAGGCCGCGUGAGUGAUGAAGGCGUUAGGGUUGUAAAGCUCUUUUACCCGGGAUGAUAAGGACAGUACCGGGAGAAUAAGCUCCGGCUAACUCCGU
RNAcentral lists this ribosomal RNA (432 nucleotides) under uncultured bacterium. Its description in RNAcentral is "partial 16S ribosomal RNA". It matches the Rfam family "Bacterial small subunit ribosomal RNA", at positions 29 to 506 of the family's 1533-position model. The record is from RNAcentral.